AUGCACGGACAGAGGCACAUACACACUCUAGCACACACACGUGUGUGUGUGUGUGUGUGUGUGUGUGUGUGUGUGUGUGCAU
Non-coding RNA from Podarcis lilfordi (Lilford's wall lizard), 82 nucleotides. Lineage: Eukaryota; Metazoa; Chordata; Lepidosauria; Squamata; Lacertidae. The record is from the annotation of a GenBank genome assembly.